Molecule: long non-coding RNA, 312 nt
Filed under: Musa acuminata (dwarf banana)
Lineage: Eukaryota; Viridiplantae; Streptophyta; Magnoliopsida; Zingiberales; Musaceae
Description: long non-coding RNA (MACU_LNC010038)
Source: RNAcentral
UUCAUCAUGUGUAUUGUGAACCAUUUCAUAUGUCAUCAAUGAACCAAUUAGUUCUUCAAGUGGAAAAAUAUUUAAAUCUUUUGUUUCUUGUAUUGCGGUUAUUUUAGGAUCCCACCUUUUUGGAAGGGAUCUUAAGAUCUUGCUCACGAGAUCAAAAUUCAAAAAAGAUUUACCAAGAACACUUAGAUUAUUGACGACAUCCGUGAAACGGGUGUACAUGUCGCCUAUAGUCUCGCUUGGUUGCAUUCGAAAAAGCUCAAAAUCAUGCAAUAAAAUGUUAACUUUCGAGUCUUUGACUCUAUUAGUUCCCUC